Gallus gallus (chicken) is the source of this 6600-nucleotide long non-coding RNA. RefSeq lists it as uncharacterized. The record is from RefSeq and is a predicted model, not a curated record. Lineage: Eukaryota; Metazoa; Chordata; Aves; Galliformes; Phasianidae. The transcript has 3 exons.
GCAAACAGUACUUGCAGCAAUGCCUGAUUCAUUGCACUACCUGCGCACAUAGGGAAGGGCAGUGUUUCUGGAAUAAGAAUGAUCCAAUGCAUGAGCUGAGCAGCUACUUCUAAGACACACAGGCAGUCUUCUUCCUCCAGCUGCCUGUUCCUUACCAUGGUGGGCCUACGCUGGGACAGCAAGCGCCUUGUUCUCCUGGAGAAUGAGCUGGGACCUCUGGGAGCUCCAAGAAAGAGCUUCAUAAAGAGCAGCUAAUACUCUCUCCUACCCUACUGUGGUUUCACCGAGUGUCCUAUGAAGUAGCACGGUCCUCGUGUGAAAUAUCUUGGCCCACUUUUUUCCAUGUUGGCAGUGCCUGGAACUGACACAACCCAUGCUGAGCAUCCUGCAGUAUCACCACCAUGAUUCAAACACGUGAGUGAAUUCAUCCAAUUCCCUUGCAUGCUAAAGUAAAUCCUGCACUUGAGACAACUCCUGGGGGAAGGACUGUUUGCCAAAGGAUCUUGCAGACCAAAUAAAAUCAAUGGGUUGAUAAGGAAAAUGGAAGGGUUUAAUUUUUGAGAGAGUGUUUUUUAAACAUAUUUAUCCCAGUGCAUGUGACUGAAACCUGAAGGUGCAUCAUGAUGACAAUAGAAAAAUCCUUAAAACUGCAAAUUUUGGCACCAUGUUUUCAUAAGAUCCCUUCUACCAUCACCAAGAAUUAUGUGACAGGCACUCUGGAGGAGAGAUUUACAACUUUCUAUUCAAGCCCCCUGGCCAUCAAUCUAAAGAAUCAAUUCCUGCUACUUCCAAACAGCAAUGCAACCGAAGACAGGCCAAAUACACAUCUUUAAAAAUACAAUCACAAAGUCAGAGUGUACAGAAGGUACCUCUGUUACAUAGUUAUGAAACCAGGAAGCCACAUCCAUCUUUACCAACAUGUUUUGCCUUUGCUGAUGCUGUUUUGAAACAACACAAGGACUGCAAGAUGAUUUUCUUACUGAGUAGCACCAUACUUUGAGUAAUACAUUACUAGUGGGACUCCCCUGAUGAUGUAUUACACUAAUGCAUCAUUAGGAUGAUGUUUUGCACUGAUGAUAUAUUACAGUGCAACAUAAUGAGAGCAAUAGCUCACUGGGUGCAUAAUCCUGCCAGGAGCUGUGCGCCUGCAGCUCUCUGACUUCAUUUGCAGUUCGGGGUGUCCAAGGCUGAGAUGGAUUAGAUCUUCAGAUACACACAGCAUAAAGGAUGGCAUGGUCAGAGAAACACCAACACACAGGUGAGUGCCGUUAAUUGCAGAAUACAACUUACAGUGUGCUAAUAUCAAGAUUCACUUUGGCAUCGCACUUUUACACCUGUGCAAAACAUCUUCAGACUAGGAGAAGCUGCUGCAGGGAGGGUUGCUGAGGUCACUUAUCUUUAUGCUUGCCUGCAGCAGCCAUGCUAGGAGGCUGUUUGGUAUGAUAAAAUAUUUGGCUCAAGUUUUCCAUGCCAAAUGUCUGUUCCAAGGAGGGUGAAGCUGGGGGAAGAGGCUAGCCCUUUGUUUUUAGUCAGUAACUUCAAUGAAAUCAGUUUCAUUCAGCUGUUUCUAUGAACCAGACUCAGAAAACAAAACAAAACAAAACAAAACAGGUAGUUUCACCACAAAGGAAAGAUUCUAGUGAGGUUUUUUUUUCUGACCUUUUUUAAAAAACAGAGCUAUUUGAUCUGUAUGAAAUUUGAAAAGAUCUCCACACUGUGAUCAAUGUCACUGACAAGAGGGCAACAUUUAAAGAGUUGUGAACUAUUCACUGUUAAGCCAUAGAUGAUGUUCAAAGAGAGGGUAAGCUGAUAUAUAAACAAGGAACAAACAAGCCAGUUUAGUUAACGGAAGAACUCCUCCUUGAGUCUCUUGCAAAACCAUUAACAUUUACAACUGAAGCACAAUUUCAUUACUAUUUAGUUUUCAUUUCAGUAUCUUCGGGGUACUUCUUGACCAAGGGGCCAUGAGCACACACACAAAAAUAUCAGAUAUCCUGCCUGCAAUCUCCAAAUUGGUGGACUUAUUCAGUUCUGAGAAACAGCAGUAUUUUAGACAACUGCUGAAUGUGCUCUGCAGGUUUGGCUCCCAGGUUCUCCUCAAUAACAACCAUCCAUGAUGGACAGCCCAGACUCUCUGGGGAACAUAAGCUUAUCUGCUCAUAAACUCAGAAAAAAAACUGGCUUUCAUAACUUUCUCCUGACAACUGUAAUUGAGAAACCACAGGAUAUUUAAUGAAUCAGAGUGAGUACGGCCAUCCCAACUAUCUAAAUGAUGAGUUAAUAUAUCCAAUCUUUUUCUUCAUGUGCAGCCUUUCAGACCGCCUGAGCUACACAGCUCUGUUUCGUAGAUGCUAUCUCCAGCCAGUUAACAAACAGGUUGAGAAAAGAGAUCUGAUCUUUCCAGUUCUCAUCUUUUACCCAGUCCCACAGCGCAUUUGCACCAGCAAAGAAAAGCACAGUUUUAGAAGACUAUUUCUCAUCAGCCUCCCAGCUUUGUUUAACCUCCAACACAUACUGGGAUAAAUGAAUUUAUGUGAACAAGAUUAUGCCAGACGAGAAUCAUAAUGCCUUGGAGAGUGGCAUGAGCCUACUCAUCGGGGCAGAGGGAUGAGAAGACGGCACGCUCUGCAUGACCAAUGCAGCAAGGAGGGAAUAGCACAGCCCACACAAAGGAGGCAGCUAUGCUGUCCCAGAGCCUGGGGUUGGCAGUGAAAACUCAGCCCUUAAGGAAGCUGGAAAAAAUAGAAAAGAAAAAAAAAAAAACAGAAUGGAUUCAUGCAUUUCCUCCACAAUGCGCCCAUGUAAGGGCCAACCACAUUCUGGCCAUAAAUUCUCUGGCACAGGAGCAUUAUACCAACUGAAAGGAAUGUCUUUCCAUCUGUGUAUUUCCCCUAAGGCGCUCACUUGAUAAUGAAACCAGUUAAGGUCUUUGGGUUCACAAUGUUAUUAUAGUCGGAUAAUAUUUUGUUUGCAGCAGAGCCUGAAGAACUCCUAAGUAGCAUAUUACAGGCACUAUACACCUGUUAAGUCAUGGCGUUUCUUCUGUAAGUGGACAAAUCUGUUUUAGCCAUCUCCAGAGAUUUUCCGCUCACAGUUAAUUAUGAAGCGCUGACUGUACUCAUUUCCUGAUCUUAAAGGGAAUCUAUAACAAAUUUAUGCCACAGGUGAAGCCUGUUCCCUCUGUCCCUCAGAAAUACCAGCAAUUCUCCUAGAGGCAUUGACUGCUUUCCUUCACCCCUUUCCCCUGCUCUCCUGGUGCCUGUGCUCCAACAAAAAACAGGCUUAGAAAAUUGGAAAAAAGGUGCAUGCUUCUAAGCAGCUGACCAAGCUCAAUGUUUUAGAAAAUAAGUUAUUAAAAACACAUUUGAACAUGCACACACACAAACAAAAUGGCACAGGCGGCCAGUCAAAGGUCGUUCUAAAGAGACCCGUGGUGGACAUCCACAGGAUGGACCUGGUUCGCUGCAGCCCCAGUUGCUCUGCAGUCAGUGAUGCCCAUAGGAAGAGCAAUCCAGCACAGCAGUGGGGUUUUCUUCACUCUCUGUGCAUGCAUGCAUUGCUACAAGUGUCCAUGUGCUUCUGAACAAUGUGGGGAAUAAUUCUGUUUAAAGAGAUCAAUUUGUUUAGUUCUAAACUCAUGAAAACCACGUUCAUCCUAAGAUAAAUAUCAUACUACAUAGUCUUGAUCAAAACCAUAAUUGUUCCUUGUACAGUACAAGAUAUUCUGAAAUGAGGUCAGGUAAGAUAAGCAUUCUGGGGAAAAAGAUAAGGAAAAGUAGUCCAUCCUAAGAAAAAAGGGCACUUUGUUCUGACAGACACCAUUCUUCAUGCUUCUUCAAACAGGGUAGUGUCUGAUCCCAGGCACACAUACUUGGACACAAGUCUACCUGACCUCAGAGAUAGAUGCUAGAUCAAUGGUUCCCAACUUUCUGGACCAACAGACAAUUGACAAGGAUCAGCAUUUUUCUCAAAUCAUCACACACGUUCACCAUCAACCUUUUGCUUAGAAAAUCGUUAAAGGUGACGUGACUCGGCAAGACUGGCUGUGCCUUCUUCCCUGCUGCCCUUGGAGGAAGACCAGUGCUCUGAGGGCCUCAGCUGGUGCCAUGUCAGAUAACUUAGGAGAUUAAUUCAGUAACCAGCUCACACAUUUACAAGCUCUUUUACAUGCAGGCAAAAGCUACUUCCUGUGUAAUCAUCAAGGCUCAGCCUCCUUCCCUGCCUGACCUCCCCUUCUCUUCGCUAUCAAAAAUGAGCCUUACCCCCCUAGUGAAGGCUUCUGCAUCCCUCUCACCAAAGACAUCACCUUACCGAAGGUGCCAUCCUUCUACAUUGAAGAUAAACAUGAAGCAAUUCCUCUAGUACUGAAAGAGGGAGCAGAGAAGUCUUCUGCAAUUAUAUGUACAGUUGUAUGUAUGCUUUUGUUUUGGAGGAAAGCAGAGAAACACCAAAGAAAUCAAUUAAAAAAGAAAAAGGGAGACAAAUGGACUUAGACCUGAAGCUAUAAGAAGCAGACUUUGGAUGCUGAAUUCCUUGUGUGAUUGAUUAUUAUUGUAUAGCUCUUUGCCCACCUCAAACAAGAGAUCUGUCUGCAAAGUACACUUUUCUUCCAAACAGAAGAAACCUGCUAGACCCCAAGAUGCGUUCACGGAAUCUAACCAGACAUUAAUGCCAGAGACACUAAUAUCAGGGAGUCACUACAGAAGCAGAACUUCAGGAGAACAGUUUUAACAUUAUUUAGACCUUCUUAAACUUUCUGUUCCCAAAGAAAGCAGGGACAUGCAUUACUUAUCUUUUCCUUGCUUUCAUACUGGGACUACAGCAGUGGAGACUUCUGGGCAUCAAAAGAAGUAUCAUGGCCCAGAAAUGAUUAAAAGCUGAGUAGUAAGCGGCAACUUAGGGAGAAAAGAAAUGCACAUAUCUCACACUUUGAAGUGCAAAUAGACUUUCUCUGUACAUCUGAUGACCCUCGCAAAUUUUGGCUUGUCCACUGUGUAUUUUCAUCACUGUUAGAAACAUAACAACACAGUUGUAGAGUGCUCCACAAUUUUGACAGAGGUUUGGCAGAAGCCCAUUUUAAACUGCCAUUAAGAGUGACUUUUCCUAUAUUUGCACUGUUGAUGGACUGCUCCAUUUAGACUUUUACCUUUGCUAUAGAACACUUCAGCUACGUCUUGGACAGCAAAUUACAAAUUAUUUGGUUACUGGAAAAAAAGGUGAAAUUGGAGUAUUUCCCAUACAAUAUUUCAGUACUUGUGGAGUUCAACAAAAUGGCACAUUUUUUGUGACUUGUGCUGUAUAUUUUAAUUUACUUUCCCAAACAUAGCAAUGAUUCACAUUUUUUACUGUAAACAAAUAUGAUUACCUAUUUGCAAAAUCAAAGAUACUGCAGUAUGUUUCCACCAAGUUUUGUCCAAGUAACUACAUAUUAAAAUGGCAGACAUCCCUUCAAAUAACAUCCUGGCAGAGCUUGCUUCUUCUGCAAGUAAUAAAAGUGGAGGAGAGCAGAUCGUGCUCCAAGAUGCUUGGCUACAGCGGUAUGAGACAGUUGAUGUGUUCCAAAUGUCUGUCAGAUUACUUAGCAAAACCAACCACUGUUAAUCAAUAGUGAAAUCUUUUUCUUUGUGGCUUAGCUAUAUUUCUGUUUUUGUUAAACAGAAGAAAAUUGCCAAUUAAGUGGACUCUGCUAGACCGUGCAGCUAGGGGAAACACACUGUCAAACUGACUGGCUUAGUUAAGAGUUAAGAGGACACAGUUCAAUUGCAGUUCAGUUACAAUACUUAAUCGAUCACCGACUGCCCAUGUGGGUUUUGUGAAGCAAGCUGCAGCAUCUUACUCUUGCUCUUUACAAAAAUCACGUCAGCCUCCACAGUCUGCCCUGGUUUUAAGCAUUCAAUCAUUUCUUUAAAAAGCACCAAGCCCAGAUUUGCAUUCUAGGAUGUGAGCCUUCCUUCACCUCAAUCGUUUGGCUCAGAAGUCGCAUCCUUUUCCCUUACUCUUCGUGCGUCUGUCUUAUUUUUUUUUAUUCCAAACUACUUGGAACAGAGAUCGUAUCUCCCUCUUUGUUUGGAAACUCUCUAGCAGUUUGUGUACUGCAGCAGUAUAAUAAAUAAAAAGUAAUAAAAAUGUUAGGAAAGUCCUUAGAAAAGUCCAUGUUAUUUUUACAAUUACUCAUGCUGUCGCUAUUUAAGAAACAAUGCCAGGAAGAUCUAGAAGGGGACUUAAAACAGUUUCUGCGAGAAUAUGCAAUCAAAAUGAUGAUGUUACCAACAGCAAAAUGCUUUGCAAGGUGUACAGCUUCUCAUGCUGCUUUUUCAAGUGCUUCUAACAGAUGUUCAAUUUCAAGUGGUCUGCAGAUACCAAUAGGCUUAUAGUUCUGCAUGAAUCGGAGCAGCAGAUGUGCCCUGCAUUAUGUUUUGCUAUUCCCUUUAUGAAUUGAUAUGUCACCUCGUGGGUUUAUAGCUAGUUAAUUUUGCAAUGACAUCACUAUUUCUGUACUUGUAAUGAUUCUCACAGGAUUUAAUUUCUCAAAUAACAGAACUCUUGAUCCUUGAAUUGCUAUGUGAAAGCAAUAUAUAAUAAACAGAUUUGUUUACAUGA